RNAcentral lists this ribosomal RNA (386 nucleotides) under Eylais sp. YRX-2005. RNAcentral describes it as "partial 12S ribosomal RNA". Lineage: Eukaryota; Metazoa; Arthropoda; Arachnida; Trombidiformes; Eylaidae. The record is from RNAcentral.
AAACUAGGAUUAGAUACCCUUGUACUAAAUUAAAAAGGUAGUAAAAGAUAAUCUUAAAACCUAAUUUAUCAUUGGCGGUCCUAUAUGUCUUUGGAGGGGCUUGUUUUUUAAUUGAUAAUCCUCAUUUAAUUUUACCAUUUUUCUCAUUUUAUAUACCUCCGUAUAAAUUUAAUUAAAAAUUUAUUUUAAAAAUAAAUAAUUCAAAAUUCAGGUCAAGGUGUAAAUAAUAAGAUGGAAAAAAUUAGCCACAUAAAUAAAAAAAGAUGUAAAACUUUUUAAAUAUGGAUUCAAUUGUAAGUUUACAAUAAAAUUUUAAACUGAUGAACCAAUUCAGGAUGCACAUAUCGCCCGUCACUCUAAAAAUUUAGAUAAGUCGUAACAUAGUA